Raphanus sativus (radish) is the source of this 1632-nucleotide long non-coding RNA. RefSeq lists it as uncharacterized. The transcript has 5 exons. The record is from RefSeq and is a predicted model, not a curated record. Lineage: Eukaryota; Viridiplantae; Streptophyta; Magnoliopsida; Brassicales; Brassicaceae.
UUUGUCGAGUUCGGUUAUGUUUUUAAACGCAGCGUUUCUCAAGUCGAUUAGGGGCUUUGGCUUAUUGUUCUCUGACUGUUUACUUUCGUCGUCGUCUCCGUUCAUCUUCUCUGCAAACACCAAAACUUUUUUUCUCCAAACUCUUAAUCUUCGCUGUUGUUCAACGUAUUUUAUCUUGAUUUCAUCCGUUAUCCAUUGACAUAGGAAUUUCUUCCUUCGAGACUCCCCUUCUCUCUAUAUUAAACCAGAUGCAAGUGAAAGAAACUCUAAACUAGAGAAUUAAGAUUCACACUACAAAAACUUGACUUCAAGCGAUCUCAGGGAUCCAAACCGGAAAACAAAGCACCAUAGCUAGCUAUUUCGAGCAAAGAUAUUGUGUCUCUUCUCUCUUGACCAUGGUCUCAAAUCUCUGCUCCAAAAGCCAAAACGAAGGGUAUUCGUAUCAACCAUAAGGUAAAUGGAAAAUCCAUAUUCGCUCGAACGUCAUGUUUCAAUUUUGUAAUAGCUUUCCUACCAAUUAGUGGUUUAGUUUGCAAGUUUAUGCGAACUCAUUAACAUGUAUUAUUUGCAUAAAAAUCUCUCUUCUUCGCUGAUUCAAGUUAGAAUUUUAUGCUAAUUGAAUAUGUUAAUUAGCUUUUGAACUUCAUGUUUCACCUUUAAUUUGCUUAAACUCUUUUUUUCACUGAUCAAGCCCGAGUGUUAGGUGUGAGUUAGUUGUGUGCAUGCAUAUAUUUGGUUCACAGAUGUUUUCUUCUAAUUAUGAAAGUUGAGAUUUUGGAGGCGUGGAACAUGUGAGUCAGUCUCCACGUCAAACUAACCGUAGCACUGAGUGAGCAGACAUGAACGUCAAAUUCCCUUGCUCUUUUAUUAUAAUCUCAUGUCUAAAUUUCUACUAACCAUUGUAUUCUUAUGGAUUUGGAAGGUCUGACAAUCACACACUCACUCGGUGAUUUCUGCAGCUACUUUUAUGGGUGUGCAGUGCUGUUCCUCCGAAACUCACGGCUGGUCUUAUCUUUGAAAACCCUCUGGACGCUUAGAUCUAAGCUUCGGAUUCAUUGCUUGCACCAGAUCAGCAAUAUGCUUUGUAGUGUCUAUUAAUGGUUGGAAUCGGGAUAAUACAGUUUCCUACCUGUUUCCAAGAAGCAGCUCUCGCUUGCAGCAUGUUAUUGCAGAGUAUUCUUCUUUCCAUAGAAUCAAAAUUGGUUUGGGACCCGACGGGAAGCUAAAAUUUCCGUCUCAUAAACACGAGACAUAUGCUUUCUGCUCUUGGACAGUACGCUAUAUCCAUAAGAAACCUCUUUGGUACUCAUGAGGUGGUUAGCAGCAGCCAACGAUCCGUAAGUGAAAGGGAAGGUGGACUCUCGAACGCAUCUUCAAGUGAGACGGUUGUUGCUGUGAAUCUGGGAAUGGGAGGUGAUGAAGGAAAUACGUAUGAAGUUGAGAACGUUGAGAAAGUGGCAAACGCAAUCGUGAGUGAAAAGAUACUAUGGAGUUCUUCAUCCCUUAAGCAAUCGUUUAUAUCCUGUUAUUGGGAUUUUGUAUCAUGUGUUUUUAUCUUUUAUAUCCUCGCCAAACUUGAUGAUAUUUUACUGGAAUAGUCACGUGUUGUCAUAGUUAAUAAUAGUUUGCAUC